GUAGCAAUACCUUGGUAUUGUUACAGAGAAUGGCGAACGGGUGAGUAAUACACAGAUAAUCUGCCCUUAAGACUGGGAUAGCUUGUAGAAAUAUAAGGUAAUACCGGAUACCCUUACUUUGCAUAAGCAGAGUAAGAAAAGAUACUUUUGUAUCACUUAAGGAUGAGUCUGUGGCUGAUUAGCUUGUUGGUAGGGUAAUGGCCUACCAAGGCUGCGAUCAGUAGCCGGCCUGAGAGGGUGAACGGCCACAUUGGGAUUGAGAUACGGCCCAGACUCCUACGGGAGGCAGCAGCUAAGAAUCUUCCGCAAUGGGCGAAAGCCUGACGGAGCGACGUCGCGUGGAUGACGAAGGCCGAGAGGUUGUAAAGUCCUUUUCUUGCUGAGGAAUAAACAUGAUUCGUAAGGAUCGUGUGAUGACGGUAAGCAAGGAAUAAGCCCUGGCUAAUUACGUGCCAGCAGCCGCGGUAAGACGUAAGGGGCAAGCGUUGUUCGAAUUUAUUGGGCGUAAAGGGUAUGUAGGCGGAUUAAUAAGCUUGAUAAUAAAGGUCGCAGCUUAACUGUGGUGCAUUGUUGAGAACUGUUAAUCUUGAGUUACGGAGGGGAAGCUGGAAUUCCUAGUGUAAGGGUGAUAUCUGUAGAUACUAGGAGGAACACCGGAGGCGAAGGCGAGCUUCUGGCCGAUAACUGACGCUGAGGUACGAAAGCGUGGGGAGCAAACAGACUUAGAUACUCUGGUAGUCCACGCUGUAAACGAUGUGCACUAGAUGGUGGAGUCAUUUU
RNAcentral lists this ribosomal RNA (780 nucleotides) under uncultured Spirochaetales bacterium. RNAcentral describes it as "bacterial SSU rRNA". It matches the Rfam family "Bacterial small subunit ribosomal RNA", at positions 69 to 835 of the family's 1533-position model. Lineage: Bacteria; Pseudomonadati; Spirochaetota; Spirochaetia; Spirochaetales. The record is from RNAcentral.